This 253-nucleotide ribosomal RNA is filed under the name uncultured bacterium. RNAcentral describes it as "partial 16S ribosomal RNA". It matches the Rfam family "Bacterial small subunit ribosomal RNA", at positions 524 to 776 of the family's 1533-position model. The record is from RNAcentral.
UACGUAGGGUGCGAGCGUUGUCCGGAAUUAUUGGGCGUAAAGGGCUCGUAGGCGGUUUGUCGCGUCGGGAGUGAAAUCCACUGGCUUAACUGGUGGCUUGCUUUCGAUACGGGCAGACUGGAGGUAUGCAGGGGAGAACGGAAUUCCACGUGUAGCGGUGAAAUGCGUAGAGAUGUGGAGGAACACCGAUGGCGAAGGCAGCCUUCUGGGCCAAUACUGACGCUCAUGCACGAAAGCGUGGGGAGCAAACAGG